AGUGUUUCUAUGGUCAAAAUGUU
RNAcentral lists this non-coding RNA (23 nucleotides) under Arabidopsis thaliana (thale cress). Lineage: Eukaryota; Viridiplantae; Streptophyta; Magnoliopsida; Brassicales; Brassicaceae. The record is from RNAcentral.